AGAGUUUGAUCCUGGCUCAGGAUAAACGACUGGUGGCGCACAUAAGACAUGCAAGUCGAACGGACUUAACCGAGAUGUUUACAUUUGGUAGCGGUUAGUGGCGGACUGGUGAGUAACACGUAAGCAACCUGCCUAUUAGAGGGGAAUAACAGUGAGAAAUCAUUGCUAAUACCGCAUAUGCCAUAAACACCACAUGGUGAAAGUGGGAAAGGAGAAAUCCGCUAAUAGAUGGGCUUGCGUCUGAUUAGAUAGUUGGUGGGGUAACGGCCUACCAAGUCGACGAUCAGUAGCCGAACUGAGAGGUUGAACGGCCACAUUGGGACUGAGAUACGGCCCAGACUCCUACGGGAGGCAGCAGUCGGGAAUAUUGCACAAUGGAGGAAACUCUGAUGCAGUGACGCCGCGUGCAGGAAGAAGGUUUUCGGUAUUGUAAACUGCUUUAGACAGGGAAGAAACAAGACAGUACCUGUAGAAUAAGCUCCGGCUAACUACGUG
This 495-nucleotide ribosomal RNA is filed under the name uncultured Eubacteriales bacterium. Its description in RNAcentral is "bacterial SSU rRNA". It matches the Rfam family "Bacterial small subunit ribosomal RNA", at positions 8 to 507 of the family's 1533-position model. Lineage: Bacteria; Bacillati; Bacillota; Clostridia; Eubacteriales. The record is from RNAcentral.